UUCCGGCCGCGCCAGUUGCGCCAGCUAGGGGACCGGUUUAGUUGACAGAGGCCGAGCAGGAGCGGUGGACAGAGAGGUUGGCCCGUUUCCGCCGUUUUGAUCACCGAUUUUCAAUGGCAGUUGCACUGAGGCCUGGAUUGUCGAGGGAUGGGUCAGUGCGAUGGAGAAGUUAUUUGAGGAUUUGUUUAUUCCAGAGGGGGAGCAGGUGUCUUUGGGAGUCCAUUGCUUGGCAGGUGAUGCCCACGUCUGGUGGAGGAGAGUGAGGAGAGAGCAGGGACUGGUGGCAUUGCAGCUGGGAUGGGAUGAGUUCUGUGGAAUGCUGUUUGGGAUGUUCUUUCCCAAUNAAGUGUACCCCCUGUUGUAGAGCAGAGGGCCCGACCGGAGGCGAGUGCAUCCCUGGAUUUGAGUGCACAGUUAGCUGCCCUCACAGAGGUGACGAGGCAGCAGGGGGAGAUGUUGCAGAGGUUGUGUGAGAGGGUGGCUCAGACAUCGAGUACAGUACCGAAAGCACCAGAGCAGGUCAUUCCGCCUCCGACUACUCCAAUGGCCGCACCAGCCGUAGCUGUACCACCCCCAGCGGAGUUUCCGGCCGCGCCAGUUGCGCCAGCUAGGAGACCGGUUCAGUUGACGGAGAUCGAGCAGGAGCAGUGGAUAGAGAGGUUGGCCCGUUUCCGCCGUUUCGAUCCGCCGAUCUUUGAUGGCAGUUGUACUGAGGCUUGAGUUGUUGAGGGCUGGGUCAGUGCGAUGGAGAAGCUAUUCGAGGAUCUUUUCAUCUCUGAGGGGGAGCAGGUGUUUUUGGGAGUCUAUUGUUUGGCAGGUGACGCCCACGCCUGGUGGAGGAGAGUGCGGAGAGAGUAGGGACUGGUAGCAUUACAGCUGAGUUUGGAUGAGUUCUGUGGAAUGCUGUUUGGGAUGUUCUUUCCCAACAGUGUGAAGCAGAAGCUCGAGGAGGAUUUGAGGAGGCUUCAGCAGGGGGAUCGGCCAGUGCAGGAGUACGUUCGAGAGUUUACUCGACUCCUGAACUG
This 1025-nucleotide long non-coding RNA is filed under the name Ananas comosus (pineapple). RNAcentral's name for it is "long non-coding RNA (ACOM_LNC033559)". The record is from RNAcentral. Lineage: Eukaryota; Viridiplantae; Streptophyta; Magnoliopsida; Poales; Bromeliaceae.